This 63-nucleotide transfer RNA is filed under the name Corydalus cornutus (eastern dobsonfly). RNAcentral's name for it is "tRNA-Gly". It matches the Rfam family "tRNA". Rfam says of the family: Transfer RNA (tRNA) molecules are approximately 80 nucleotides in length. Their secondary structure includes four short double-helical elements and three loops (D, anti-codon, and T loops). Lineage: Eukaryota; Metazoa; Arthropoda; Insecta; Megaloptera; Corydalidae. RNAcentral also lists the same sequence under 2 other names. The record is from RNAcentral.
AUUUAUAUAGUAUAAAAAGUAUAUUUGACUUCCAAUCAAAAGGCCUAAUUUUUAGUAUAAAUA